Molecule: ribosomal RNA, 297 nt
Filed under: Triticum aestivum (bread wheat)
Lineage: Eukaryota; Viridiplantae; Streptophyta; Magnoliopsida; Poales; Poaceae
Description: partial small subunit ribosomal RNA
Source: RNAcentral
AAACUCGUAAGUUGGAACUACCGGGGACUCGGGAACGACUCGACACUUCAAUCUCUUCUCGAACUGGGAAGAAUGGAGGAACCCGAUAUCUUAUUUCUAUGUGAGACUAGGCUGAAGGAAAAGGAGUUGGGAAGAUUUCGAUGGCUGUUGGGGCUCGCCAACAUGGUCGCUUGGAAGGAUGAAGGAAGCGGUAGAGGGGUGGCACUGUUCUGGAGGCAGGGAGUUGAUGUUACUCUUCGAUCAUACAGGAGGAGGCAUGUGGAUGUGGAUGUAACCAGGGAGGAUGGAUCAGUCUAG